This is a long non-coding RNA of Sinocyclocheilus anshuiensis, 832 nucleotides long. RefSeq lists it as uncharacterized. The transcript is spliced from 4 exons. The record is from RefSeq and is a predicted model, not a curated record. NCBI's taxonomy places the organism in Eukaryota, Metazoa, Chordata, Actinopteri, Cypriniformes, Cyprinidae.
UUCAAAGAACAUGCUGAAGCCGGCUGCGUAAACUGUUUAGAUUCUUACUAAUCUAGCCAAAUUCACUAUCUUCAGAAAGAAGAGACUACAACAGGUGACAGAAGUGUCGCCAACAAAUAUACACACACAUCAGCGUGUGAAACAACGUCUCUGCAAUAUCAAGUCGAGGCUUCUGCAGAAAAUCUCCAUCAUCAUCCAGGUACUUCUCCAAGAGAAUGCGAAGAUCUGUGGCAAUAAACAGCACCAAGGUUACCAUAGUCAGCUGGAUCCAGUCAGUGUCCAGAGCAGAUGGUGGACCUGCACCCAGGAAUGACCACAACACAGCCCUCCAUGGCCAGAGAAGACCUCGAUGAGACAAGCCCUCAGGACAGAUCUUCAGCAAAGACCCAUCCUGUCAUCCUGGUCCUCAGCGAAGACCUCAGCAACUAGAAGAGCUCUCGGCACAGAUCCCAACAGCCAGCUAUGAACGAGUCAUGUCAGGACCAGCUAGGACCGUUGCACAGUUUUAUCAAAAAGGUCAUUCAUCGUGCUUAAGGCCACUGAUAAAUUAGUUGUCUACUACCGGCUGAACGGCAGCUCUACCUUCAUAUUCCAACCUGCUGCAUCUCCUUUUCCUACCUAACGCCGGUGUAAUGUAUCCUAAUCAAUACCACAUUGUGUUUGUUUGCUUGGGCCAGAGGAGAACUGGUCCCUGAGCCUGGUUUAUCCCAAGGUUUUUUCUCCAUUCUGCCACCUGAUAGAGUUUGAGUUCCUUGCCACUGUCACCUUUGUUUACUUAUUUGGGGUCUGAAAAGGGCCUUUCGCACCGUGGGAACCUUUCCAUAGUACCAGA